Molecule: ribosomal RNA, 525 nt
Filed under: uncultured bacterium
Lineage: Bacteria
Description: bacterial SSU rRNA
Rfam family: Bacterial small subunit ribosomal RNA
Source: RNAcentral
UGGGGAAUAUUGCACAAUGGGGGAAACCCUGAUGCAGCGACGCCGCGUGAGUGAAGAAGUAUUUCGGUAUGUAAAGCUCUAUCAGCAGGGAAGAUAAUGACAGUACCUGACUAAGAAGCCCCGGCUAACUACGUGCCAGCAGCCGCGGUAAUACGUAGGGGGCAAGCGUUAUCCGGAUUUACUGGGUGUAAAGGGAGCGUAGACGGAGUGGCAAGUCUGAAGUGAAAACCCUGGGCUUAACCUGGGGACUGCUUUGGAAACUGUUAAUCUAGAGUGUUGGAGAGGUAAGUGGAAUUCCUGGUGUAGCGGUGAAAUGCGUAGAUAUCAGGAAGAACACCGGAGGCGAAGGCGGCUUACUGGACAAUAACUGACGUUGAGGCUCGAAAGCGUGGGGAGCAAACAGGAUUAGACACCCUGGUAGUCCACGCCGUAAACGAUGAGUGCUAGGUGUUGGGUCCUUUCCGGGACUCAGUGCCGCAGCUAACGCAUUAAGCACUCCGCCUGGGGAGUACGACCGCAAGGUUG